GGAUAGGUGGCCGAGUGGUUAAGGCGCUAGCUUCAGGUGCUAGUGGAGCAAUCCGCGCGAGUUCGAGUCUCGUCCUAUUCA
Molecule: non-coding RNA, 81 nt
Organism: Ascochyta clinopodiicola
Lineage: Eukaryota; Fungi; Ascomycota; Dothideomycetes; Pleosporales; Didymellaceae
Source: the annotation of a GenBank genome assembly